Molecule: long non-coding RNA, 717 nt
Filed under: Homo sapiens (human)
Lineage: Eukaryota; Metazoa; Chordata; Mammalia; Primates; Hominidae
Description: HSALNT0405194
Source: RNAcentral
CGCGUCUGCCAGGGAGAGCCUGCACCUCCCACAAGGUGUCGUCUGUGCUGGCUUCUGGAGCCUUUGACCACUGCUUUCCAUCUGGGAUUCUGUGUUCACAGGGGGAACAAAAGGCCUGAGAAACACCACGUACGUGACUUGGUCUUCAUGGUCUCUUCUCUCCUGUAAUUGUAGGUGGCCUCAGGAAAGGAGUCUGUAUUCUGCAAUCACUGACUUGCUGCUGAAAAAUCCAGAUGAAAAGAAAGGCGGGGCUUUCCUGCUGGCUUCAGUCUGGAGAUCUGACUCCAGCUUCCUGCUGGCCACCAGGCAGGGGUGGUGGAAGGAGCGGUUUUUGCAGGCAGACGACUUCGAUCAUAAACUACCAAGAUACCUGGAGCGAUCAGAUGAGCCUCGGCCUACUCUUGAAGCUAAAGGAAGGCUGCUAGCAAGACUGGCAUCUGGGCUUGGCUGUGCGUGUUUUCCAUUGUGGGAAAAUAUACAUAACACAAUAUUUGUAAUUUGAACCUUUUAACCAAAGUGUGCACGCAGUGGCAUUGAAUAUAUUCACUUACACUUAAGGCACAAUGACAAGGCAGCAAAGGGCUGUUGGGUGAUUAGUUCACCACACUUGUUGCAACUGUUUGUACUGCAGAGUUAAAACAUACCAGCAUUCAACCCAUGUCUCCUCUCUUGAAAUAAACUGUCCCCUUUGCAAGGGACCUAAAUCUCCAUUUACAG